CAAAGAUCAUGAGUUUCGAUCAGAUUCGAAGAAGUGGUUUUCAUUUCGACGCACUGUUGGAGUUUUUUUGGUGAAACUUUUCAUGUUUUUCUCUUAAGUGAACAUUAUAAUUAUCAUUAUUCUGAAUUGUUAGUUAUUCGUUUCUUGCAAUUGCUUCCAAAUUGACCCGAAUCCCCGCAUAUAUCAGUUGCAGCUAGAUUUUGUUCAGUCUGGCUGAAAUUGCAAGAACCGAUAGGCCGAUAGUUGUCGAUCUAUAGUGGUGGCAAUGUUUUUGAACUAUUGGCACGAAGAGAGGUUUCACCUUGGACGAAGCACUCACCAAAAGUAUUAUGGAGAAGCUUCUAAACCUCGAUGUGAUUCCUUUGGAUCAAGGCAUGCUGUACAAGAUGCAAGGCAAGGUCUUGUCACAUGGGUGGAGGCAGAAAUGCUGUGGCAUUUAUCAGCCAAAUAUUGUCCACUAUUGCCUCCUCCAAGGUCAACUAUUGCAGCAGCCUUCAGCUCCGAUGGAAGAACGGUUGCUUCUAUGCAGUGAGAUUCCAUUAUAGUCUAUCUUAUACCUUAUAAAGGUUAGGAUAAAGACUUGCGUAUAGAUGCUUAAUUUUUAAAAUAUCAUUGUGUUUUUAUUCCUCCAAUGGAGACCAUACCGUGAAGAUUAUUGAUUGCAAAACUAGGAACUGCUUAAAGGUUUUGAGUGGUCACUGAAGGAACCUCGCGUGGUAAGUUUAUAUUAUAGGCUCUAUUCUUAUUGUUUAUAGUUAGGCAGGUAGAAUAUGCUAUAAACGUUGUCUGUUCCAUGAUACAUACUAAAGUCUUGCUGUCAUGAUACUGUAUUUGGCUUUUGAAGGAAAGAAUUUUUAUUUAAAUUAGUAAUAGGAAUUUCUAUGAUGUCCAUAUGGAAAUCUAUCAUAUGGUAAUUGCCUGUUAAAAAUCUUAACCAAAUGAGUUACAUAACAUACACCUAUCCUAUGAAUUUUCUGUGUGCUAUGCAUCUCUCAUUUUCACAUUCCAGUGGAACUUUUGCAGGUUAGGUUUCAUCCCUUAUAUCCUGAAAUACUUGUGAGUGGAAGUUUGGAUCAUGAAGUUUGUUUGUGGGAUGCUAAUACAGCAGUGUAUAGGAUUACAUGAUCUUUGUAAUUUCUUCUAUGGGAUUUUAUAUAGCAUUUGGAGAAGAAUAUCAUGUUGAAAUUGUAUAAUUUACAUAUGGAUAUGACAGUUAUUUUCCUUUUCUCCUCACAGAUCAUCCUAUUGCUUCUAUUGCGUUCCAUGCAUAGGGGGAGCUUCUUGCUGUGGCUUCAGGUCACAAGGUCAAUGACCUCGAUUCAUCAGAUUGCUCAAAGACACUUGCAACUUCUCCAGGUUACUUGCAUUAUCCUCCACCCACUGUGUACUUGGCUGGUGCUCAUCCAAGUGGUCUUCCUUAUUUGGUAGAUGAACUUUCUCUCAUGUCUUCACACUUUUUGGUGUAGCAUUCAUUUGCUAAAGAUGAUGGGAGAACAUCUUUGCAGCCUACAUAUGGGGGGAUGCAGGUUUGGCUAGUGUGCAACAAAGAGUGGAUCCUUCUGCUUCAGUGCGGCCUCUGAGAUAUUCCACUCUAUCAGGGCAGUAUGAACUUUUAUUGUCUCCUAUUGAUCCUAAUAACUCAUCACCUGUGCCAGAGGAUACGGGAAAUGAUUCUUUAAUGAGUGAAACAGAUGACACGAUUCCUCAAUCUGCUAUGGAUGCCAUGGAGACGGUGGAAGUGCAUCCUGAAGAGAGAAAUGAUCGCUUCUUUCCUUUUGGUGAUCCAAUUUAUUGGGAGCUACCUACCCACCCGUGGGUAGCCCUAGUGGUAAGAGUGAACUUGUGUGCAUAAGCCCCCUGUCACAAGUUCUAUGCACACAAGUUCGAUUCCCCCUGGGAUCAAAUUGCGAUUUAAGUGGGAGGUCAUGGUGGUGGGUUCCUGUGCUAGUCUCCUGGGGGUUUAGGUUUCACGGAUGAGUCCUAAGGGCUCUGCCUUGGGGUGGUUCCCCUGCCAUUAAAAAAAAUGUGUUGGGAGCUGCCUUUCUUGCAAGGGUGGUUAAUUGGACAGAGUCAAGCUGCAGAAUGCACCAUGGGCUCAGUCAAUGCUUCAGCCCAUGAGAGUUUAUCAACAUUUACUGAAAUGAAAAAUCUCAUGGCUCUUCAGUUAUGCUGAUCAGUGUCAGCCAAUCUAGAGUUACUGGAAGAUCUAGUUCUCAUCAGCAUUCUUUACAUUCUCGCAUGAGGUCCAGAUUGGAUCCAAUGAAGGUUUUAACUUCAAUCACAUUCCAUUUGAUGGAAGUGAUCCUCAGCCCCCUCCAAGCAGAAUCCAAUCUGAACUUGCAACCUUGAUGGCUGUUGCAGAGUUACCUUGCACUGUGAAGCUAAGAAUAUGCAUGAUGUUAAAGAUCCAUGUGCUCUUCUUGAUGCAGAAGAGUGUGGCUUAACUAUACCGCAUGUUGUACUUUGUAGCUCUAACCAUUAAAUAAUAUUCUCCUUUUAUUUUUAUCUUUUAAACUCUGUUUUGAGCUUGUUGCUACCAUAAACAUUCAGAAAUCUGUAAAUGGAAGUAGGACUUUUUGGUAAUUUUACUUAUCUGAACGUAGUUCUUUCUUGGAGUAACAUUUAGCUUGGAGAUACAGAUAUUGAUAUUAUUCUAACUACCCUUGUUUCCCCCAUUAUGGAACUAGAUACCUUUUCUGCCUUUCUUCUUUUAGUAACAUUAAUUUGUAGACAACUUAUCAAACUACAUAUCUAUAUAAUGUGUAUGAUACACGAUACAUACAGCGGAGGGAUGUUUACUUGUACAGAUAAGUUGCAGUGGGUGCUCAUUUUUCACCUUGUGGGAGAUUUUUAGCAGCCCGUGUUUGGCAUGUGUGCUGUCUCAUCUGGAAGCUGAUCCAGGAUUGCAAGGCCAGGUCCACAACAAAAUUACAGUAGCUGCAACAUCCCUGACACGGCAUCCAAUUUCAGCCCACGAAGUUCUAUAUGAGUUUCGGAUAUAUUCCCUCGAAGAGGCAAUGUGAAGCUUAAACCUAGUCAUGUAUCAUGUCUUUUUCAGGUUUUGAUUUAUGCUUUUCCUUGUACUUCUGCCUGAUAAUUUAUGCUUGUUUAUCUAGAUUUGGUUCAGUGCUUCAUCACAGGCAAUACGGGCUGCCCAUUGAUUAACUUCAAUUCAGGUUUAUAGAGUUUCUGAUAUGGAACUUGUGAGAGUUCUUCCUGGUGCCGAGGAUGAGGUCAACGUAGUCUGCUUUCAUCCAUCAGUUGGAGGUGGCUUGAUCUAUGGAGGUGGAUUGAUCUAUGGGAAUAAGGAAAUAACGAGACGGCUCGAAUUGGAGGUGAUCUCCAGCUGCAGAUUUUGUCCUACAGUGAGCUGAUUCACUCCUUGGGAAGGUCCGAACUUGUCUUCCUUUUAUUUCAUGAACAAUGGGUAAAGGGCUAGUUAGCAAUACAAAAUCUUAAACUAUUUGAUCUUAUCUAAUAUAAUCAUUACAAUUUUUAUAAAUUUUUAAC
This is an RNA transcript of Carya illinoinensis, 3510 nucleotides long. RefSeq lists it as uncharacterized. NCBI's taxonomy places the organism in Eukaryota, Viridiplantae, Streptophyta, Magnoliopsida, Fagales, Juglandaceae. The transcript is spliced from 6 exons. The record is from RefSeq and is a predicted model, not a curated record.